Molecule: signal recognition particle RNA, 79 nt
Filed under: Pseudomonas aeruginosa
Lineage: Bacteria; Pseudomonadati; Pseudomonadota; Gammaproteobacteria; Pseudomonadales; Pseudomonadaceae
Description: partial signal recognition particle sRNA small type
Rfam family: Bacterial small signal recognition particle RNA
About the family: The signal recognition particle (SRP) is a universally conserved ribonucleoprotein involved in the co-translational targeting of proteins to membranes. Archaeal SRP consists of a 7S RNA and homologues of the eukaryotic SRP19 and SRP54 proteins.
Source: RNAcentral
GAUUACCCGUCAACCUGGUCAGGUCCGGAAGGAAGCAGCCACAGCGGGAACAUUGUGUGCCGGGGUGUGGCUGGCGGGG